Molecule: ribosomal RNA, 697 nt
Filed under: Staphylococcus aureus
Lineage: Bacteria; Bacillati; Bacillota; Bacilli; Caryophanales; Staphylococcaceae
Description: partial 23S ribosomal RNA
Rfam family: Bacterial large subunit ribosomal RNA
Source: RNAcentral
UAAUGGGUGAUGGCGUGCCUUUUGUAGAAUGAACCGGCGAGUUACGAUUUGAUGCAAGGUUAAGCAGUAAAUGUGGAGCCGUAGCGAAAGCGAGUCUGAAUAGGGCGUUUAGUAUUUGGUCGUAGACCCGAAACCAGGUGAUCUACCCUUGGUCAGGUUGAAGUUCAGGUAACACUGAAUGGAGGACCGAACCGACUUACGUUGAAAAGUGAGCGGAUGAACUGAGGGUAGCGGAGAAAUUCCAAUCGAACCUGGAGAUAGCUGGUUCUCUCCGAAAUAGCUUUAGGGCUAGCCUCAAGUGAUGAUUAUUGGAGGUAGAGCACUGUUUGGACGAGGGGCCCCUCUCGGGUUACCGAAUUCAGACAAACUCCGAAUGCCAAUUAAUUUAACUUGGGAGUCAGAACAUGGGUGAUAAGGUCCGUGUUCGAAAGGGAAACAGCCCAGACCACCAGCUAAGGUCCCAAAAUAUAUGUUAAGUGGAAAAGGAUGUGGCGUUGCCCAGACAACUAGGAUGUUGGCUUAGAAGCAGCCAUCAUUUAAAGAGUGCGUAAUAGCUCACUAGUCGAGUGACACUGCGCCGAAAAUGUACCGGGGCUAAACAUAUUACCGAAGCUGUGGAUUGUCCUUUGGACAAUGGUAGGAGAGCGUUCUAAGGGCGUUGAAGCAUGAUCGUAAGGACAUGUGGAGCGCUUAGAAG